RNAcentral lists this long non-coding RNA (2949 nucleotides) under Malus domestica (apple). RNAcentral's name for it is "long non-coding RNA (MDOM_LNC001523)". Lineage: Eukaryota; Viridiplantae; Streptophyta; Magnoliopsida; Rosales; Rosaceae. The record is from RNAcentral.
CUUGUUCAAGUCCACAACGCACCCGGUGGUCCUGCAGUUCCCUCCGGUCCCGCCGUCGGCCACCACCAAAAUGGGAAGGUUAUACCCAUCGAUCAAGCUCACGGCGUAGAAAUCAAGCCCGCCCGUACCGUUCAGCGUGAACUCUGCGAGAGUAGCCGGCGGCGCGGCCCCACCGCCAGCACAUUCGACUGCAGAAGAUCCGCAGUCGCCUGUCAAGCAAGAGAAGUUGCCCGUGGUUGAGUCCUGGGAGCAGAGCGUUCGCCCCCACAACCUACCGGACCACGAGGUGGGGACCGAAAACGUGUUGGACUCUCCAGGAGCCAAAGCGAAUCCGGUGGUGACCGGUCGCUGGUCAGUCCCGCCAUUAGACAGAAUGGCCGGCCAUAUGGUGGUGGUGCAAUUGUUUGCGAUGGUGAACGUCGCCGGGUAGCCGACUCGAAUGGAUUGAAGGAGACAGAGAAGGAAAAGGAACGAUGAAAAAGCUUGAUGGGAAGCCAUUGGAAGUGAAAUGUGCUCUUUUUGUUUCAGUAGGUGGUGUGGGAGAAUGUUGCUUUUUUAUAGGGAAAGAGGAGAGAGUUAGCAGUCGUGUCGUGUGGGAAGAAUAUGUGACGUGUGUUUUGCGUCUCUAGUUUUAUAGGCGGCAACUUGUGCAGAGAAGGCAUUGUAAUAAUAUGCUAAUCUAUUUUAUUUAUAUGUUUGUGAACUUUAUUACCUGUAAAGCAAAUAUGUGACAAGUGGACAUGUGUCGAAAUUCCACGUUUAAGGUGGAUAUUUGAUUUGACCAAACAUAAAAAAAAAAUUUUAAAAAAAGGUAAAUAGUUGGUACGUUCAUCGACUGCUCUGAUAUUUUCAGCGGACAUGCAGAAGAGUUGUGGUGGGACCACUGCUUAAUAAAUUGGAUAAAGCAGAGCUUCCCCUGAAAUUCCAGAAGAGUUGUGGUGGGAACCACAAAAGAAAUGUGAGAUUUUGAUUUGUGGUUGGAAGUUGGAACCAUUUGAUUUGUGGUUGGAAGUUGGAACCAUGGAAGAGUUGGGAGCACCUUCUUUUCUUUUUCUUUUUCUUUUUUUUUUUUUUUUGGAAUAACCUUUCCGAAGAAAGGAGACAAUUUUAUUUCAAACUUUAGAUUACACAUACAAGGUAGACACUGCCAACGAAGGUAGACAGAGAGAAGGAGAAGGAGGUGGUGUGUUAAACACCCGAGCCAAUGAGUCCACCGGAGCUCUACGUACCCCUAAAACGAUCGCAACCAUGUGCUUUGAAAUCUGACAGCAGAUCGAGUUGAAAGUAUGUGGGGGAAAACAGGCGUUGGGUAGAGACAUUUUGGGUAAAUCAGGAAGAACUGGGAGGAACAGUAACAAAAAAACUGAGAAACAAAAAGCAAAACAAAAACCUUUCCUCCAACCCCCGCCACAGCGAGGGCCUUCGACAACAAUUUUAAUCGAUGAGGGAAUCACUCACACACAGAUGGUGGAAAAGACUCUCAAGAAGAGAGAAGGAACUCUCACACGGAGAGAAAAGUUUCAAUUCUGUACAUGGAUGAUAUUUGUUCAAUCAUAUGUGGUAUCAUCGUCAACUAUUUGGGACACUUAGACCAUCUUCAAUCCAAAUCUUCAAUCCAAGGUUGGUCAGAUGGUUCAUUUUAGCCCCUCUAGCUUUUCAAGAUAUUAAUAUUUUAAUCAACAGUACAUGAUCAUAUUAGUCUCAGAGACCCAGAUGGGAGUGAAAAGGAUUUGCACAUUUAAUUACUAUUUCCUCUACAGUGCAGCUUCAAUAGGUGACAGUAAAAACUCUUGUAUCUACAUUUGUGACAGGAUUACCAAAAAUAAGAACCAAGCAAUGCAUACAAUAGGUUUUGGCCGCUGUUAUCACGAGCCGAAUUAGAGCACCUUCAAUGUUGAAAUAUACAAGAACAUGACAUCCGCCUGAAGGUUCUCUUCAUUUAAAGACCAUCACAGAUUUCCAAAUGUUCAGUUAGUAACUAUCCCUAUUGCCUGACCUAUCAAGUAUCCAUACAGCACAAUGAGCAGGGACCGACAGAUAAGUAGGAAAACGAUUCACUCCAAGCGUGUAAUGUCCAGAAGCGACCGGACCAGCCGGCCGGGGCUUGUUCUAUAGCCGAACGGCCACAUAUAUGUAUGUAAAAGGGGAAAACUUGUUCGCCAAACGACAACACUUAUCAUCCAUCAGAGAAAUUAAAACCCUUUUGCAAAAACCAUCAUAUGUAUAUCCCACCAAAACGCAAAAUUACGGGACCCAAUUACAAAAGACUAAUGCUUUAGCAAAAAAAUAUAAAAGGUUCUUGAAGACAAUAUUUACUAUUACUCUGUCUCUUCUCUUUUAUUUUUCAAGCCUUGGCAUUAGGACGAUUUUAGUCUUAAAAUCAUCAAUAGUGCAAAUGGUUACCCGAUCGAAGGAGCAGGGCAGAAAGUGAUGAUGUAAUUGGCGGAAGCACAGGUGAAGGUGCUGGUGCUGUCGUCAUACGCAUAGCUGUAAGCUUUCGGGCACGCAUUUUUAAAAAACUGCGAGUAAGAACUCGGCACGCAUGUGUCCGGCGUAGCGUACGGCCCGCUACAGCAGUACUGCGGCUCCCCAAGCGCCUCGCACGCGCUUUUACACGCCACUCCCUCCUCACUCGCCGUCACCUUCAGCUCCGAGGGGCACCCCUUGUUCAAGUCCACAACGCACCCGGUGGACGUGCAGUUCCCUCCGGUCCCGCCCUCGGCCACCACCAACAUGGGAAGAUUAUACCCAUCGACCAAGCUCACGUCGUAGAAAUCAAGCCCACCCGUACCGUUCAGCGUGAACUCUGCGAGAGUAGCCGGCGGCGCGGCUCCACCGCCAGCACAUUCGACUGCCGAAGAUCCGCAGUCGCCUGUCAAGCAAGUGAAGUUGCCUGUGGUUGAGUCUUGGGAGCAGAGCGUUCGCCCCCAUAACCUACCGGACCACGAG